Molecule: transfer RNA, 82 nt
Filed under: Fasciola gigantica
Lineage: Eukaryota; Metazoa; Platyhelminthes; Trematoda; Plagiorchiida; Fasciolidae
Rfam family: tRNA
About the family: Transfer RNA (tRNA) molecules are approximately 80 nucleotides in length.
Source: Rfam by way of RNAcentral
GUCGUGGUGGCUGUGUGGUUAAGGCGUCGGACUCGGAGUCCGAUGGGGUUUCCCCGCGCAGGUUCGGAUUCUGCCGGCGACG